Molecule: non-coding RNA, 744 nt
Organism: Ciona intestinalis (vase tunicate)
Lineage: Eukaryota; Metazoa; Chordata; Ascidiacea; Phlebobranchia; Cionidae
Source: RefSeq, a predicted model, not a curated record
AUUUGGUAAAGUAUAAAUCACAAUAGGCGUUGUUACUUACACAAGUUCUUUUCUAGAUGACAUCAGAGAUGUGACGUCACGAAGUGGUUAUGACGCAACAGAAGAACCCGCUUCGAAGGUUGUUUGUUUUUGACACAAUCUUUAUUAUUCAAAACAGUAUUUUUUUAAUAUUUCAGAACAUGUGUGUGACGGCACAGAGGAAAAAUCGGAAAUCAAGGAAAAGGUAAGUGUGACGUCAUUAUAUAAACUAUGACAAACAGCGCGUAUGCUGCCGAAGAACAGCGCAAGAAGAAUAGCAAAGAGGUAGACGACGAUAAGGAUGCGGUUUCAGGUUUUGCUUAGGCUUGGGAAUUGUGUGGUGUUGUGGUGUGGUUGCUGGAGCACUCUUACAGUGUUGUCGGAUUUGUGUUUGUGUCUCAUUUCAACUGGACCUAAUGUGGCCAGUCUUUUUGUUAGUCACUACUUUAGUGCAUUUUGCAUGUCACUGAAAUAAAUGCAAUAAAACUAUGGCAAACAUCUUGCUGGAUCGGAUUUUGUUGUUGUACACGUCAUUAUGUGCUUCUUCUGCAAAGGUCGAAUCUUUUAAUGAUUCUGCAUUGUCCUAAUUACUUGAUAAGAACGACAUGUUGGUACACAAAUACUCGAGUAAUAUUCACGCGCAUUAUAAUAUACACGCAGUAAACUUUCAAAUUUAAUAUCCUUUAUUUUUAUCAGUUAUUCGUCCCCGUUAACCUGUUGCCAUUU